GUUUAUUGAUAUCUCCGAUAUCUCCGAUAAGUUACAAAUAUGUACAUAUACAUGAAUCAAAAUAAACAAACAAGAGGGAGCCUUCGCAAAGGUUGCUCAUGAGAAGUCUCAGCAGUCGACAGAGCCCCAGAAAGAGUAGGCACCGGAGGGUGAUCAUUCGGAGCCUCAGUACUGGGCAGAACCCCAGAAGGAGGAGGCACCGAAGGUUGAUCAUUUGGAGCUUCAUUACGCGGUAC
Molecule: long non-coding RNA, 236 nt
Filed under: Malus domestica (apple)
Lineage: Eukaryota; Viridiplantae; Streptophyta; Magnoliopsida; Rosales; Rosaceae
Description: long non-coding RNA (MDOM_LNC013379)
Source: RNAcentral